RNAcentral lists this ribosomal RNA (479 nucleotides) under uncultured anaerobic ammonium-oxidizing bacterium. RNAcentral describes it as "bacterial SSU rRNA". It matches the Rfam family "Bacterial small subunit ribosomal RNA", at positions 364 to 833 of the family's 1533-position model. The record is from RNAcentral.
UUUCGCAAUGCCCGAAAGGGUGACGAAGCGACGCCGCGUGGGUGAGGAAGGCCUUCGGGUUGUAAAGCCCUGUCAGGAGUUAAGAAAUGUAAGUGCGCUAAUACCGCAUUUAUUUGACGAAGGCUCCAAAGGAAGUCACGGCUAACUCUGUGCCAGCAGCCGCGGUAAUACAGAGGUGGCAAGCGUUGUUCGGAAUUAUUGGGCGUAAAGAGCACGUAGGUGGGUUUGUAAGUCAGAUGUGAAAGCCUCCUGUUCAACGGGAGAAUUGCAUCUGAAACUACAGAUCUUGAGUGUAGGAGGGGAGAAUGGAACUUCUGGUGGAGCGGUGAAAUGCGUAGAUAUCAGAAGGAACGCCGGCGGCGAAAGCGAUUCUCGGGCCUAUUACUGACACUCAGUGUGCGAAAGCUAGGGUAGCAAACGGGAUUAGAUACCCCGGUAGUCCUAGCCGUAAACGAUGGGCACUAAGUAGAGGGGUUUUA